RNAcentral lists this ribosomal RNA (506 nucleotides) under uncultured bacterium. RNAcentral's name for it is "partial 16S ribosomal RNA". It matches the Rfam family "Bacterial small subunit ribosomal RNA", at positions 29 to 523 of the family's 1533-position model. The record is from RNAcentral.
AUUGAACGCUGGCGGCAGGCCUAACACAUGCAAGUCGGACGGUAGCACAGGGGAGCUUGCUCCUCGGGUGACGAGUGGCGGACGGGUGAGUAAUGUCUGGGGAUCUGCCCGAUAGAGGGGGAUAACCACUGGAAACGGUGGCUAAUACCGCAUAAUGUCGCAAGACCAAAGAGGGGGACCUUCGGGCCUCUCACUAUCGGAUGAACCCAGAUUGGAUUAGCUAGUAGGCGGGGUAACGGCCCACCUAGGCGACGAUCCCUAGCUGGGCUGAGAGGAUGACCAGCCACACUGGAACUGAGACACGGUCCAGACUCCUACGGGAGGCAGCAGUGGGGAAUAUUGCACAAUGGGCGCAAGCCUGAUGCAGCCAUGCCGCGUGUAUGAAGAAGGCCUUCGGGUUGUAAAGUACUUUCAGCGGGGAGGAAGGCGAUGUGGUUAAUAACCGCGUCGAUUGACGUUACCCGCAGAAGAAGCCCCGGCUAACUUCGUGCCAGCAGCCGCAGUAA